RNAcentral lists this ribosomal RNA (252 nucleotides) under uncultured bacterium. RNAcentral describes it as "partial 16S ribosomal RNA". It matches the Rfam family "Bacterial small subunit ribosomal RNA", at positions 524 to 776 of the family's 1533-position model. The record is from RNAcentral.
UACGUAGGGGGCAAGCGUUGUCCGGAGUUACUGGCGUAAAGCGCACGCAGGCGGUCUCUUAAGUUUGGAGUGACAGUUGGUGGCUUAACUGCCAAAGUGCUUCGAAAACUGAGAGACUUGAGGGCUUCAGAGGGACACGGAAUUCCGGGUGGAGUGGUGAAAUGCGUAGAGAUCCGGAGGAACACCGAAGGCGAAGGCAGUGUCCUGGGGAGUACCUGACGCUCAGGUGCGAAAGCCAGGGGAGCGAACGGG